This 439-nucleotide ribosomal RNA is filed under the name uncultured bacterium. Its description in RNAcentral is "partial 16S ribosomal RNA". It matches the Rfam family "Bacterial small subunit ribosomal RNA", at positions 339 to 795 of the family's 1533-position model. The record is from RNAcentral.
CUACGGGUUGCUCCAGUGAGGAAUAUUGCACAAUGGGGGGAACCCUGAUGCAGCAACGCCGCGUGGAGGAUGACGCAUUUCGGUGUGUAAACUCCUUUUAUAUGUCAAGAAAAUGACGGUAGCAUAUGAAUAAGCACCGGCUAACUCCGUGCCAGCAGCCGCGGUAAUACGGAGGGUGCAAGCGUUACUCGGAAUCACUGGGCGUAAAGGACGCGUAGGCGGGUGGGAAAGUCAGGUGUGAAAUCCUACAGCUUAACUGUAGAACUGCACUUGAAACUUCUAAUCUAGAGUAUGGGAGGGGGAGAUGGAAUUAGUGGUGUAGGGGUAAAAUCCGUAGAUAUCACUAGGAAUACCUAAAGCGAAGGCGAUCUCCUGGAACAUUACUGACGCUAAGGCGUGAAAGCGUGGGGAGCAAACAGGAUUAUAUACCCUCGUAGUC